GAUGAACGCUGGCGGCGUGCCUAAUACAUGCAAGUCGAGCGAACAGACGAGGAGCUUGCUCCUCUGACGUUAGCGGCGGACGGGUGAGUAACACGUGGAUAACCUCCCUAUAAGACUGGGAUCACUUCGGGAAACCGGAGCUAAUACCGGAUAAUCUAUUGAACCGCAUGGUUCAAUAGUGAAAGACGGUUUUGCUGGAACUUCUAGCUGGAUCCGGGCGGCAUUGGCGAGUUGGUAAGGUAACGGCUUUCCAAGGCAAGUAGGCGUAACCGACGUGCUUGGGGGGUCGGCGACACUGGAACUGGGACGCGGUCCUGACUCCUACGGUAGGGAGCAGUAGGGAACCUUCGGCAAUGGGCGAAAGCCUGACGGAGUAACGCCGCGUGAGUUAUGAAGAUGUUCGGAUCGUAAAACUCUGUUAUGAGUGAAGAACAAAUGUGUAAGUAACUAUGCACGUCUUGACGGUACCUAAUCAGAAAGCCACGGCUAACUACGUG
This 497-nucleotide ribosomal RNA is filed under the name uncultured bacterium. RNAcentral describes it as "partial 16S ribosomal RNA". It matches the Rfam family "Bacterial small subunit ribosomal RNA", at positions 28 to 507 of the family's 1533-position model. The record is from RNAcentral.